Molecule: long non-coding RNA, 465 nt
Filed under: Capsicum annuum
Lineage: Eukaryota; Viridiplantae; Streptophyta; Magnoliopsida; Solanales; Solanaceae
Description: long non-coding RNA (CANN_LNC013368)
Source: RNAcentral
CAAGUUUCAAUGUGUCAAUUGGGCAUGUUGCCUUUGUAGUUGGUGGACAUGGUUUUUUCCCUUUAGGUGAUGGGGUAAUUACUGGUGGAACUGUGACAGGUGGAAGCCCAAUAGGUGGCAACUUGAUGGGGGGUUUGACAACUGGUGGUAAAGUGAUAGGCGGUUUUACAACUGGUGGAACUGUGACAGGUGGAAUUCCAAUAGGUGGCAAAUUGAUAGGCGGUUUUACAACCGGUGGUAAAGUAAUAGGCGGUUUUACAACUGGUGGAACUGUGACGGGUGGAAGUCCAAUAGGUGGCAAAUUGAUAGGCGGUUUUACAACUGGUGGAACUGUGACGGGCGGAAUUCCAAUAGGUGGCAAAUUGAUAGGGGGUUUGACAAUGGGAGAGGGAGUUUUGGGCUUCUUGGUCUUGGGCUUGUGAGAAGGUUUACCACAAUAGCCACAACCAAGAAUGGGAGUUAAAG